GCCUGGUUGGCUCAGCCGGUAGAUCGUAAGACUCUUGAUCUCGGGGUCAUGAGUUCGAGUCCCAUGCCGGGUG
Transfer RNA from Felis catus (domestic cat), 73 nucleotides. It matches the Rfam family "tRNA". From Rfam's summary of the family: Transfer RNA (tRNA) molecules are approximately 80 nucleotides in length. Lineage: Eukaryota; Metazoa; Chordata; Mammalia; Carnivora; Felidae. The record is from Rfam.